CCUUGUUGCUCGUGAGUGGUCUAGGUCAGAGUCUACUGGAAGACAGGGUCUUUUCUUAGACUAAAGGCUUGGCCAGGGCACUGGACUAUGAGGCACCUCCCACUUCUCUCUAGCUAGGCCUUUGCCUGUAAUACAGGAAGAGAUCCAUUGCUCCCUAACUCACCAAAUGGGGCCUGAGUGAGCUUUUUUCUGUCCUAGCAGUGUGUACCUGCAAUUUUACAAGGGUUAUCUGUAAGAAAGAGAACCACUAAGUAGUAAUUAGGUUUUCUCUAUUUUAUUAAUAAAACAGAUUUUUGCAACAAUUUAUUAAAAAUUGGUUUUCAUGCAGUAUAAGGGGUAUACAAGAAAUUCUCCAUGUAUUCUCUCUUUUUUUAAAAUAAUUUUUGACAGUUCCAGUCUAGAUUAAAGCAUUUUGUGCACUAUCAUUGUUGGAAAAUGCCAUUGGGGCAUAGCUCGUCAUAAAUUUUUACAGUACAUUUUUGCUGCAGUAUAAAAAAAAACAGAAACAUUAAAUAGCUAUAGUCACUUUUGUGGGCCUUAUUAUCUGCAGGAAAUUUAAAAAAAAUAUAUGUUGUGGGAGAAACUACAGUUGCAUUGGAGACAAAGAAUGUACUGCAUGAUUUAAACCUAAGAAACAGCACACGGUCAGUAUUCACAAAGAGUUACAGACACACACUCACCGCCAACAGUCCAAUACUUUUUGGAAAUUUUUUUUUGAUUUGUUUCCUGCUAUGUUGGAAUAAUAUUUUCUACAGAAAUGUUUGUGUAUACAUUAUAUACAGUAUUAUUGUUCUUUUUUGAAAAGUAAUAUUUAUUUGUAUUAAAUAAAGUCCUGAUGAAGUUUAUUAAUAAAUUAAGAGAAUACUGGCAACACACAUACAUACACGCUCACACACUCACACCAGACGACACCUUCAGUGGUUAGUGCUCAAACCGAGUGAUGUGUCCUGCUCCCUGUGCGGUAGACUUACUCACUGUUAUCCUAACACUUCCAGGUGCCUCCAUGACCUCUCAACGAAAUGUGUGCAGGGAGAGAUUCUGUGAUGCCCCCAGUGGAUUAAGCGUCAUGUGUUUCAAAGCUGGUGGUUUUCUGACUGUAGACCUUCCAACCUCGAUGUGCUGGCCUGGUUGACACUGGUGACUGACGUGGAUGUUUUUGAGUCAUCUUUCUUCUGGUUCUGAGUGAACUGGAGUCCUCUGUUUCGGGUGGCAGCAUCUGGAUUUGUUCUCAGUGUGAUUAGCUGAAAGUUGAAGAAUAUCUCAUUUUAUUUUUGUGUAUCUGUGCCCAAAAAAAUGUUCAUUGAACGUGCAUUCAAAUGUGUAAUGCUGGAUUUGAGACAUAGUCUUCAGUAGCACCUUGCCAAUUUUAUCAUCCAUGUGAGCUAAAACUAUUUAACCACUUCCCAUAAUUUAGCAAAGGCACCUUAACGUGCUACUUAGCUAAUGUUAGAAGCUCAAAAUAAUGUGUAAGGGGCUGCUGAUAUGGCUUCUUCCCACACUAGUGUCAAACCUCCAGGAAACUAGACUUCUCCUAGGAAUCACAGAUUUCUGACAUUACUGGUGAAAUGCAGAAAUGAUGCCUGUGGCUUCCAAACCUCCCCUGGAAGGUAAUAUUUGAAGGGAUCUGAAAACAACUUUUAAACACACACAUCCAAUUCCAUUUCUCCUUUUAGAGUUCCCUUCUUCAGUAUUGGGAUACCAUAAUUUACUAAACUUUGGCCAAAGAGAUUAGAAAAUUCCAUUCAUAUGCCAAUGUGGUUAAGUGUUUCAACCCAAAGUAGAUGGACUUUGUACAUUCAUUAUUAUUUAUUGAUUAAAGUUUAUUACACACCCUUCACUAUAA
Molecule: long non-coding RNA, 1843 nt
Organism: Podarcis raffonei (Aeolian wall lizard)
Lineage: Eukaryota; Metazoa; Chordata; Lepidosauria; Squamata; Lacertidae
Exons: 2
Source: RefSeq, a predicted model, not a curated record